Molecule: ribosomal RNA, 373 nt
Filed under: uncultured organism
Description: bacterial SSU rRNA
Rfam family: Bacterial small subunit ribosomal RNA
Source: RNAcentral
CGUAGGUGGCAAGCGUUGUCCGGAAUUAUUGGGCGUAAAGCGCGCGCAGGCGGUCCUUUAAGUCUGAUGUGAAAGCCCACGGCUCAACCGUGGAGGGUCAUUGGAAACUGGGGGACUUGAGUACAGAAGAGAAGAGUGGAAUUCCACGUGUAGCGGUGAAAUGCGUAGAGAUGUGGAGGAACACCAGUGGCGAAGGCGACUCUUUGGUCUGUAACUGACGCUGAGGCGCGAAAGCGUGGGGAGCAAACAGGAUUAGAUACCCUGGUAGUCCACGCCGUAAACGAUGAGUGCUAAGUGUUAGAGGGUUUCCGCCCUUUAGUGCUGCAGCAAACGCAUUAAGCACUCCGCCGUGGGGAGUACGGCCGCAAGGCUG